GAUGAACGCUGGCGGCGUGCCUAAUACAUGCAAGUCGAGCGAACGGACGAGAAGCUUGCUUCUCUGAUGUUAGCGGCGGACGGGUGAGUAACACGUGGAUAACCUACCUAUAAGACUGGGAUAACUUCGGGAAACCGUAGCUAAUACCGGAUAAUAUUUUGAACCGCAUGGUUCAAAAGUGAAAGACGGUCUUGCUGUCACUUAUAGAUGGAUCCGCGCUGCAUUAGCUAGUUGGUAAGGUAACGGCUUACCAAGGCAACGAUGCAUAGCCGACCUGAGAGGGUGAUCGGCCACACUGGAACUGAGACACGGUCCAGACUCCUACGGGAGGCAGCAGUAGGGAAUCUUCCGCAAUGGGCGAAAGCCUGACGGAGCAACGCCGCGUGAGUGAUGAAGGUCUGCGGAUCGUAAAACUCUGUUAUUAGGGAAGAACAUAUGUGUAAGUAACUGUGCACAUCUGGACGGUACCUAAUCAGAAAGCCACGGCUAACUACGU
This 496-nucleotide ribosomal RNA is filed under the name uncultured bacterium. Its description in RNAcentral is "partial 16S ribosomal RNA". It matches the Rfam family "Bacterial small subunit ribosomal RNA", at positions 28 to 506 of the family's 1533-position model. The record is from RNAcentral.